Molecule: ribosomal RNA, 303 nt
Filed under: uncultured bacterium
Lineage: Bacteria
Description: partial 16S ribosomal RNA
Rfam family: Bacterial small subunit ribosomal RNA
Source: RNAcentral
AGCAGUCGCCGCGGGAAUACGUAGGGCGCAAGCGUUAUCCGGAAUUAUUGGGCGUAAAGAGCUCGUAGGCGGUUUGUCGCGUCUGUCGUGAAAGUCCGGGGCUCAACCCCGGAUCUGCGGUGGGUACGGUCAGACUAGAGUGAUGUAGGGGAGACUGGAAUUCCUGGUGUAGCGGUGAAAUGCGCAGAUAUCAGGAGGAACACCGAUGGCGAAGGCAGGUCUCUGGGCAUUAACUGACGCUGAGGAGCGAAAGCAUGGGGAGCGAACAGGAUUAGAUACCCCCGUAGUCCCUGUCUCUUAUAC